RNAcentral lists this ribosomal RNA (121 nucleotides) under Lepisosteus oculatus (spotted gar). The record is from RNAcentral. Lineage: Eukaryota; Metazoa; Chordata; Actinopteri; Semionotiformes; Lepisosteidae.
ACCAGCAGCCAUAUCAUCAAUGCAGCUCACAACUGGCAACCCACUGAAGCUAAGCAGGUUGUGAACCUGACCAGUACCUGGGUGAGAGACCUCCUGGAAAAAACUCAGGUUGCUGCUGGAA